RNAcentral lists this unclassified non-coding RNA (809 nucleotides) under uncultured Bordetella sp. RNAcentral's name for it is "partial 16S-23S ribosomal RNA intergenic spacer". It matches the Rfam family "Bacterial small subunit ribosomal RNA", at positions 10 to 815 of the family's 1533-position model. Lineage: Bacteria; Pseudomonadati; Pseudomonadota; Betaproteobacteria; Burkholderiales; Alcaligenaceae. The record is from RNAcentral.
GGUUCGAUUCUGGCUCAGAUUGAACGCUGGCGGGAUGCUACACAUGCAAGUCGAACGGCAGCACGGACUUCGGUCUGGUGGCGAGUGGCGAACGGGUGAGUAAUGUAUCGGAACGUGCCGCGUAGCGGGGGAUAACUACGCGAAAGCGUAGCUAAUACCACAUACGCCCUUCGGGGGAAAGCGGGGGACCUUCGGGCCUCGCACUAUUAGAGCGGACGAUAUCGGAUUAGCUAGUUGGUGGGGUAACGGCUCGCAAGGCGACGAUCCGUAGCUGGUUUGAGAGGACGACCAGCCACACUGGGACUGAGACACGGCCCAGACUCCUACAGGAGGCAGCAUUGGGGAAUUUUGGACAAUGGGAAACCCUGAUCCAGCCAUCCCGCGUGUGCGAUGAAGGCCUUCGAGGUUGUAAAGCACUUUUGGCAAGAAAGAAACGGCACGGGAUAAUACCCCGUGCAACUGACGGUACCUGCAGAAUAAGCACCGGCUAACUACGUGCCAGCAGCCGCGGUAAUACGUAGAGGGUGCAAGCGUUAAUCGGAAUUACUGGGCGUAAAGCGUGCGCAGGCGGUUCGGAAAGAAAGAUGUGAAAUCCAGAGCUUAACGCUGGAACUGCAUUUUAACUACCGAGCUAGAGUGUGUCAGAGGAGGUGGAAUUCCGCGUGUAGCAGUGAAAUGCGUAGAUAUGCGGAGGAACACCGAUGGCGAAGGCGGCCUCCACCAGGAUAACGCAACGACGCUCAUGCACGAAAGCGUGGGGAGCAAACAGGAUUAGAUACCCUGGUAGUCCACGCCCUAAACGAUGUCAA